This 803-nucleotide ribosomal RNA is filed under the name Apiospora sp. RNAcentral describes it as "partial large subunit ribosomal RNA". It matches the Rfam family "Eukaryotic large subunit ribosomal RNA", at positions 89 to 918 of the family's 3401-position model. The record is from RNAcentral. Lineage: Eukaryota; Fungi; Ascomycota; Sordariomycetes; Amphisphaeriales; Apiosporaceae.
GCGAGUGAAGCGGGAACAGCUCAAAUUUGAAAUCUGGCCCUUGGGUCCGAGUUGUAAUUUGCAGAGGAUGCUUUUGGUGCGGUGCCUUCCGAGUUCCCUGGAACGGGACGCCUUAGAGGGUGAGAGCCCCGUACGGUUGGACACCAAGCCUAUGUAAAGCUCCUUCGACGAGUCGAGUAGUUUGGGAAUGCUGCUCAAAAUGGGAGGUAUAUUUCUUCUAAAGCUAAAUAUUGGCCAGAGACCGAUAGCGCACAAGUAGAGUGAUCGAAAGAUGAAAAGCACUUUGAAAAGAGGGUUAAAUAGCACGUGAAAUUGUUGAAAGGGAAGGAUUUAUGACCAGACUUUUUCUAGGGGGAUCAUCCGGUGUUCUCACCGGUGCACUUCCCCUAGUUGAGGCCAGCAUCGGUUUCUGUCGGGGGAUAAAAGCUUCAGGAAUGUGGCUCCCUCCGGGGAGUGUUAUAGCCUGUUGCAUAAUACCCUGACGGGGACCGAGGUUCGCGCAUUGCAAGGAUGCUGGCGUAAUGGUUAUUAAUCACCCGUCUUGAAACACGGACCAAGGAGUCGAACAUUUGUGCGAGUGUUUGGGUGUUAAACCCUCACGCGUAAUGAAAGUGAACGGAGGUGAGAGCCUUUAGGGGUGCAUCAUCGACCGAUCCUGAUGUCUUCGGAUGGAUUUGAGUAAGAGCAUUAAUGUUCGGACCCGAAAGAUGGUGAACUAUGCGUGGAUAGGGUGAAGCCAGAGGAAACUCUGGUGGAGGCUCGCAGCGGUUCUGACGUGCAAAUCGAUCGUCAAAUCUGCGCAU